AGCAGCCGCGGUAAUUCCAGCUCCAAUAGCGUAUAUUAAAGUUGUUGCAGUUAAAAAGCUCGUAGUUGAAUUUCGGGAUUAGUAAGUUGGUCGUGCCUCUGGUAUGUACUGGCUUUACUGGUUCCUCCUUCUUGAAGAACUGUAAUGUCAUUAAUUUGGUGUUGCAGGGAAACAGGACUGUUACUUUGAAAAAAUUAGAGUGUUUAAAGCAGGCUAACGCUUGAAUACAUUAGCAUGGAAUAAUGAAAUAGGACGUUUGAUCCUAUUUUGUUGGUUUCUAGGAUUGACGUAAUGAUUAAUAGGGAUAGUUGGGGGCAUUAGUAUUCAAUUGUCAGAGGUGAAAUUCUUGGAUUUAUUGAAGACUAACUACUGCGAAAGCAUUUGCCAAGGAUGUUUUCAUUAAUCAAGAACGAAAGUUAGGGGAUCGAAGACGAUCUGAUACCGUCGUAGUCUUAACCAUAAACUAUGCCGGCUAGGGAUCGGAUGAUGUUAAUUUUUUAAUGACUCAUUCGGCGCCUUA
This 520-nucleotide ribosomal RNA is filed under the name uncultured Glomeromycotina. RNAcentral's name for it is "SSU rRNA". It matches the Rfam family "Eukaryotic small subunit ribosomal RNA", at positions 569 to 1090 of the family's 1831-position model. The record is from RNAcentral. Lineage: Eukaryota; Fungi; Glomeromycota.